Molecule: ribosomal RNA, 661 nt
Filed under: Burkholderia sp. 6hN46
Lineage: Bacteria; Pseudomonadati; Pseudomonadota; Betaproteobacteria; Burkholderiales; Burkholderiaceae
Description: bacterial SSU rRNA
Rfam family: Bacterial small subunit ribosomal RNA
Source: RNAcentral
CACGGGUGCUUGCACCUGGUGGCGAGUGGCGAACGGGUGAGUAAUACAUCGGAACAUGUCCUGUAGUGGGGGAUAGCCCGGCGAAAGCCGGAUUAAUACCGCAUACGAUCUACGGAUGAAAGCGGGGGACCUUCGGGCCUCGCGCUAUAGGGUUGGCCGAUGGCUGAUUAGCUAGUUGGUGGGGUAAAGGCCUACCAAGGCGACGAUCAGUAGCUGGUCUGAGAGGACGACCAGCCACACUGGGACUGAGACACGGCCCAGACUCCUACGGGAGGCAGCAGUGGGGAAUUUUGGACAAUGGGCGAAAGCCUGAUCCAGCAAUGCCGCGUGUGUGAAGAAGGCCUUCGGGUUGUAAAGCACUUUUGUCCGGAAAGAAAUCCUUGGUUCUAAUAUAGCCGGGGGAUGACGGUACCGGAAGAAUAAGCACCGGCUAACUACGUGCCAGCAGCCGCGGUAAUACGUAGGGUGCGAGCGUUAAUCGGAAUUACUGGGCGUAAAGCGUGCGCAGGCGGUUUGCUAAGACCGAUGUGAAAUCCCCGGGCUCAACCUGGGAACUGCAUUGGUGACUGGCAGGCUAGAGUAUGGCAGAGGGGGGUAGAAUUCCACGUGUAGCAGUGAAAUGCGUAGAGAUGUGGAGGAAUACCGAUGGCGAAGGCAGCCC